GAUGAAUGAUGGCGGAGGGGAGAAGAAAGGAAAGUCGAGGGAACAGACGAGGAGCUUGCUCCUCUGACGUUAGCGGCGGACGGGUGAGUAACACGUGGAUAACCUACCUAUAAGACUGGGAUAAAUUCGGGAAACCGGAGCUAAUACCGGAUAAUAUAUUGAACCGCAUGGUUCAAUAGUGAAAGACGGUUUUGCUGUCACUUAUAGAUGGAUCCGCGCCGCAUUAGCUAGUUGGUAAGGUAACGGCUGACCAAGGCAACGAUGCGUAGCCGACCUGAGAGGGUGCUCGGCCACACUGGAACUGAGACACGGUCCAGACUCCUACGGGAGGCAGCAGUAGGGAAUCUUCCGCAAUGGGCGAAAGCCUGACGGAGCAACGCCGCGUGAGUGAUGCAGGUCUUCGGAUCGUAACCCUCUUUUCUUCGGGAAGAACAAAUGUGUAAGUCACUCUGCACGUCUUGACGGUACCUAAUCAGAAAGCCCCGGCUCCCUACGUC
Molecule: ribosomal RNA, 497 nt
Filed under: uncultured bacterium
Lineage: Bacteria
Description: partial 16S ribosomal RNA
Rfam family: Bacterial small subunit ribosomal RNA
Source: RNAcentral